Molecule: ribosomal RNA, 253 nt
Filed under: uncultured bacterium
Lineage: Bacteria
Description: partial 16S ribosomal RNA
Rfam family: Bacterial small subunit ribosomal RNA
Source: RNAcentral
UACGUAGGCAGCAAGCGUUGUUCGGAGUUACUGGGCGUAAAGGGUGCGUAGGCGGCUUUUUAAGUUUGGUGUGAAAUCUCCCGGCUCAACUGGGAGGGUGCGCCGAAUACUGAGAGGCUAGAGUGCGGUAGGGGAGACUGGAAUUCCUGGUGUAGCGGUGAAAUGCGCAGAUAUCAGGAGGAACACCGGUGGCGAAGGCGGGUCUCUGGGCCGUAACUGACGCUGAGGAGCGAAAGCAUGGGGAGCGAACAGG